CCUACGGGAGGCUGCAGUGGGGAAUAUUGGACAAUGGGCGAAAGCCUGAUCCAGCCAUGCCGCGUGUGUGAAGAAGGCCUUCGGGUUGUAAAGCACUUUCAGUGGGGAAGAAAGCCUUGGGGCUAAUACCCUCGAGGAAGGACAUCACCCACAGAAGAAGCACCGGCUAACUCCGUGCCAGCAGCCGCGGUAAUACGGAGGGUGCGAGCGUUAAUCGGAAUUACUGGGCGUAAAGCGCGCGUAGGCGGUCUGAUAAGCCGGUUGUGAAAGCCCCGGGCUCAACCUGGGAACGGCAUCCGGAACUGUCAGGCUAGAGGGCAGGAGAGGAAGGUAGAAUUCCCGGUGUAGCGGUGAAAUGCGUAGAGAUCGGGAGGAAUACCAGUGGCGAAGGCGGCCUUCUGGACUGACACUGACGCUGAGGUGCGAAAGCGUGGGUAGCAAACAGGAUUAGAUACCCUAGUAGUC
This 465-nucleotide ribosomal RNA is filed under the name Vreelandella stevensii. RNAcentral's name for it is "partial 16S ribosomal RNA". It matches the Rfam family "Bacterial small subunit ribosomal RNA", at positions 338 to 795 of the family's 1533-position model. The record is from RNAcentral. Lineage: Bacteria; Pseudomonadati; Pseudomonadota; Gammaproteobacteria; Oceanospirillales; Halomonadaceae.